RNAcentral lists this ribosomal RNA (303 nucleotides) under uncultured Pseudomonas sp. RNAcentral's name for it is "bacterial SSU rRNA". It matches the Rfam family "Bacterial small subunit ribosomal RNA", at positions 1077 to 1382 of the family's 1533-position model. Lineage: Bacteria; Pseudomonadati; Pseudomonadota; Gammaproteobacteria; Pseudomonadales; Pseudomonadaceae. The record is from RNAcentral.
GGGUUAAGUCCGUAACGAGCGCAACCCUGUCCUUAGUUACCAGCACGUUAUGUGGGCACUCUAAGGAGACUGCCGGUGACAAACCGGAGGAAGGUGGGGAGUGACGUCAAGUCAUCAUGGCCCUUACGGCCUGGGCUACACACGUGCUACAAUGGUCGGUACAAAGGGUUGCCAAGCCGCGAGGUGGAGCUAAUCCCAUAAACCGAUCGUAGUCCGGAUCGCAGUCUGCAACUCGACUGCGUGAAGUCGGAAUCGCUAGUAAUCGUGAAUCAGAAUGUCACGGUGAAUACGUUCCCGGGCCUU